GAUGAACGCUGGCGGCGUGCCUAAUACAUGCAAGUCGAGCGAACGGACGAGAAGCUUGCUUCUCUGAUGUUAGCGGCGGACGGGUGAGUAACACGUGGAUAACCUACCUAUAAGACUGGGAUAACUUCGGGAAACCGGAGCUAAUACCGGAUAAUAUUUUGAACCGCAUGGUUCAAAAGUGAAAGACGGUCUUGCUGUCACUUAUAGAUGGAUCCGCGCUGCAUUAGCUAGUUGGUAAGGUAACGGCUUACCAAGGCAACGAUGCAUAGCCGACCUGAGAGGGAGAUGCGCCACACUGGAACAGAGACACGCUACAGACACCUACGGGAAGCAGCAGUAGGGAAUGUUCCGCGAUGGGCGAAAGACUGAAAGAGCAACUCCGCGUGAGUGAUGAAAGUCUUAAGAUCGUAAAACUCUGUUAUUAGUGAAGAACAUAUGUGCAAGUAACUGUGCACAUCCUGACGGUACCUAAUCAGAAAGCCACGGCUGACUACGU
Molecule: ribosomal RNA, 496 nt
Filed under: uncultured bacterium
Lineage: Bacteria
Description: partial 16S ribosomal RNA
Rfam family: Bacterial small subunit ribosomal RNA
Source: RNAcentral